GGUGAGAUGGCUCAGUGGGUAAGAGCACCCGACUGCUCUUCUGAAGGUCCUAAGUUCAAAUCCCAGCAACCA
Molecule: transfer RNA, 72 nt
Filed under: Mus musculus (house mouse)
Lineage: Eukaryota; Metazoa; Chordata; Mammalia; Rodentia; Muridae
Description: tRNA-Ser
Source: RNAcentral